CUCAGGACGAACGCUGGCGGCGUGCCUAAUACAUGCAAGUCGUACGCUUCUUUUUCCACCGGAGCUUGCUCCACCGGAAAAAGAAGAGUGGCGAACGGGUGAGUAACACGUGGGUAACCUGCCCAUCAGAAGGGGAUAACACUUGGAAACAGGUGCUAAUACCGUAUAACAAUCGAAACCGCAUGGUUUUGAUUUGAAAGGCGCUUUCGGGUGUCGCUGAUGGAUGGACCCGCGGUGCAUUAGCUAGUUGGUGAGGUAACGGCUCACCAAGGCCACGAUGCAUAGCCGACCUGAGAGGGUGAUCGGCCACAUUGGGACUGAGACACGGCCCAAACUCCUACGGGAGGCAGCAGUAGGGAAUCUUCGGCAAUGGACGAAAGUCUGACCGAGCAACGCCGCGUGAGUGAAGAAGGUUUUCGGAUCGUAAAACUCUGUUGUUAGAGAAGAACAAGGAUGAGAGUAACUGUUCAUCCCUUGACGGUAUCUAACCAGAAAGCCACGGCUAACUACGUGCCAGCAGCCGCGGUAAUACGUAGGUGGCAAGCGUUGUCCGGAUUUAUUGGGCGUAAAGCGAGCGCAGGCGGUUUCUUAAGUCUGAUGUGAAAGCCCCCGGCUCAACCGGGGAGGGUCAUUGGAAACUGGGAGACUUGAGUGCAGAAGAGGAGAGUGGAAUUCCAUGUGUAGCGGUGAAAUGCGUAGAUAUAUGGAGGAACACCAGUGGCGAAGGCGGCUCUCUGGUCUGUAACUGACGCUGAGGCUCGAAAGCGUGGGGAGCAAACAGGAUUAGAUACCCUGGUAGUCCACGCCGUAAACGAUGAKUGCUAAGUGUUGGAGGGUUUCCGCCCUUCAGUGCUGCAGCUAACGCAUUAAGCACUCCGCCUGGGGAGUACGACCGCAAGGUUGAAACUCAAAGGAAUUGACGGGGGCCCGCACAAGCGGUGGAGCAUGUGGUUUAAUUCGAAGCAACGCGAAGAACCUUACCAGGUCUUGACAUCCUUUGACCACUCUAGAGAUAGAGCUUCCCCUUCGGGGRCAGAGUGACAGGUGGUGCAUGGUU
This 1057-nucleotide ribosomal RNA is filed under the name Enterococcus sp. Its description in RNAcentral is "bacterial SSU rRNA". It matches the Rfam family "Bacterial small subunit ribosomal RNA", at positions 23 to 1050 of the family's 1533-position model. Lineage: Bacteria; Bacillati; Bacillota; Bacilli; Lactobacillales; Enterococcaceae. The record is from RNAcentral.